This 357-nucleotide ribosomal RNA is filed under the name Escherichia coli. RNAcentral's name for it is "bacterial SSU rRNA". It matches the Rfam family "Bacterial small subunit ribosomal RNA", at positions 1050 to 1407 of the family's 1533-position model. Lineage: Bacteria; Pseudomonadati; Pseudomonadota; Gammaproteobacteria; Enterobacterales; Enterobacteriaceae. The record is from RNAcentral. RNAcentral also lists the same sequence under 2 other names.
UGUCGUCAGCUCGUGUUGUGAAAUGUUGGGUUAAGUCCCGCAACGAGCGCAACCCUUAUCCUUUGUUGCCAGCGGUCCGGCCGGGAACUCAAAGGAGACUGCCAGUGAUAAACUGGAGGAAGGUGGGGAUGACGUCAAGUCAUCAUGGCCCUUACGACCAGGGCUACACACGUGCUACAAUGGCGCAUACAAAGAGAAGCGACCUCGCGAGAGCAAGCGGACCUCAUAAAGUGCGUCGUAGUCCGGAUUGGAGUCUGCAACUCGACUCCAUGAAGUCGGAAUCGCUAGUAAUCGUGGAUCAGAAUGCCACGGUGAAUACGUUCCCGGGCCUUGUACACACCGCCCGUCACACCAUGG